GGAGAGUAGGCAAAUAUUGGUUUGUUGCAUCCGACUGCUAAUCGGAGCCGGUCCCAGAGGCCGGUGCAGGUUCAAUUCCUGUGCUCUCCGCCA
This 93-nucleotide transfer RNA is filed under the name Flavilitoribacter nigricans. It matches the Rfam family "tRNA". From Rfam's summary of the family: Transfer RNA (tRNA) molecules are approximately 80 nucleotides in length. Their secondary structure includes four short double-helical elements and three loops (D, anti-codon, and T loops). Further hydrogen bonds mediate the characteristic L-shaped molecular structure. tRNAs have two regions of fundamental functional importance: the anti-codon, which is responsible for specific mRNA codon recognition, and the 3' end, to which the tRNAs corresponding amino acid is attached (by aminoacyl-tRNA synthetases). tRNAs cope with the degeneracy of the genetic code in two manners: having more than one tRNA (with a specific anti-codon) for a particular amino acid; and 'wobble' base-pairing, i.e. permitting non-standard base-pairing at the 3rd anti-codon position. RNAcentral also lists the same sequence under 1 other name. The record is from RNAcentral. Lineage: Bacteria; Pseudomonadati; Bacteroidota; Saprospiria; Saprospirales; Lewinellaceae.